This is a non-coding RNA of Microcebus murinus (gray mouse lemur), 4323 nucleotides long. The record is from RefSeq and is a predicted model, not a curated record. Lineage: Eukaryota; Metazoa; Chordata; Mammalia; Primates; Cheirogaleidae.
UGUGAAUGGCCACAUAGAAAGGCCCCAGAAGCAAGGACUUGAGGGGGCCACUGGCCAAUAGUCAGGAGGGAACCAAGGCUUUCACUCCAGCAGCUUUCAAGGAACAGCCACCUGCCAACAGCCACACGAGCUUAGCAGCAGGUUCUUUCCCAGUCGAGCCUCCGGAUGAGAUCCUAGCCCUGUGACGAACCCUGAGCCAGGUCACUCAGACUGUUACUCCGAGAAAGACAUCCUGGCCCACCAUUGGACGUUAAGGCUGUACCAUAUGCUCCUUGGUCUGAAGCAACAACAGUUGGUUGUCCAAAUCCAUGCAACAUCUCCUGUUCGGGUGCUUCCGUAGCACUCCGAGCAUUUGCAUCUUCCACGGGGUGUCCCUUUCGAGACCACUGUAGGAGCAUGGUGGCUGGGGCUCAGCCCUUAUCCCACCUUCCUUCUGGCCACCUCCCCGACAUGUGGGGCUGGGACACUCAUCAACUUUACCAAAUUCUCUUGCACCUGAACUUUUGCAGGGGAGUUUGAAUUAGCCACUCAGGUACGUUUGUGACAAGCUGGGAGGAUGGGAGUGAGGUGGGGCAGCGUCUGCGGUUUCUGGGCAAGUUUGUGGACACCAGAAGGCAUAAGGGCCUCUGUUUAGGUGGGCUGUGUGAUUUCUGGAGCCUACAGCAGUAGUGACUGCUUCUUGAUUACUGGAGAGGAAGUUCCUGCUCCUUUGGUGUCUUUGGGGAUCAUCCCUGAAAGCUCAACCUAGAGUUGAUUUUUUUCAGCCCUCCCACUGAUUCUAGAAGUCAUUUUACAUAAUUAAGCCCAAUUCACUGAAGCUAGCUGGAGUGGAUUCUGUUUUCUGCAACUGAGCCCACAUUGAUACAGCUAUCCUAUUGGGUCUCUCUAUUUUGAGCAUCUGCUAUGAGUCCACAUGGUACUAGACAAUAAUGGCUUGCAAUGUGCCACGCUAAAGUUGAUUCAAUCCUCUCAAUAGCCACAUGAGCUGAGUGCUAUUAUUCCUCCUAACACGCGGAAGUGAAAAUGGAGUCACAGAUGGGCUAAAUAACUUGCCUGAGUUCACUCACACAGAAAGAGGCAAAGCCAAGCCUCAGGGCCUACAACCACCCGUUGCAUGUAGUGCCCACGGACUAUGCCAAGUCCAAUGACUAGUCUAGUAGCUGCUUCUUGUGUGUGAAAUUAAGCCAAACACCCUAAAGUGAACACUUAUGAAGUGGUUUCCUGACUUUUUGAUUACAUAACUACUUUUUGUUCAUCUCAGUUUGAAGAUUUAUAAAUCAGACUUGAGACAUUUUCAAACCCCUAAGAGUCUCAAACAAAGGACCACAAAGACCUCACUCCUAAGCUUCUCCUCACGGAACAUUCAGAUUCUCUUUCCCACUCCCCCAACACCACUCUCGUCAGAAUGACUUUCCAUAAGCAGCAUGGUCAGCUCUUAGAAGCUCAUCUCUUAUGUCCUGCAUUUGAAGGCUGCAAUAUUAACCAAACAAUUGCUGCUGCAAGCCACAUUUUCCGUCUGUUCCUGAACAGAGAUUGGCGUGUGACUCUUACAGUCCGCAUAGUUCUCGCUCUUUUGCAGGGGAGAUUACUGGGGGAAAAUGGCUUUUCUCUUCACUCCACCACAGAGAUCAUUUAUCACUACUUGAAGAGUUGUGUGUUUCUGUGGUUGCUUGGUUUGGAGUUGCAACAGACACUCCGACUUCUGCAAAAUUCCAUUUAUUUUCCGCAUGGAAUGCAAUUUAAUGCACCGAUGUCUUCCAUACAGCUGAGUCAUAGCCUUAUUAAUAAAAUAAUCCUUGGAGCCCACUUGCACCUAGAGCCUUGCCAGUGAAGGCUCCAAUGCUUGAGUCCAUGAUGUCAUUUUAUGUCUAAACUCUUCCCCAUCCCCCCAACCCGUGCCCUGCUCCAUCUAGAACGGAAAGAGGUCAUGCUAACUUGAUGGAAUUAAAAAAUGCCAAAACCACACAAAAGAAUGCAGCUCUGGGUGUAGCGCUCAUCUGGCAAAUAUGAAAUUUUUUUCCCCGAGUGAGUCUUCCACAAACAAGGUCAGUCCGAAAGCCGACACUACCUUAGCCAGGGAGGGGCGACGGCGCCAUUAAAAACUCUUGCCAGCGGUUACCUCAGACAAUGUAAAUACAAAGCUGGUGCUUGUGUUUAUUUAAAGUUAUUGGCAUCGGCCUCGUUCCCGGUAGACCAAGAUUAUCUUGUUUACGGCAGCAUCCAGAUGAUGGACAAGACUCUGUAUAAUAUAAAUCCAGCCAUGCAAGGGGGGGGACCGUUAGCAUAAACAACUUCCCUCAAGCAAAACAAAUCCUGCCAAAUCUCAAGCUGGAAUUCAUUUAUUAUACAGCUUCGACUUGACUUGUCUCAACAUUAAACAACUGCAAAAGCAGAGGGAUAAAACCGAUGUCCGAGGGCAAGACAAGCCUGUCCUUUUGACUUCUAGCCUGUUUUGCAGAAGGUGUCUCUUUCUGGCUUUGUCGUGGUGUCGUGUUCUCUUCCCUUCAGAUGCUGCCCCUCCUGUCAUUUCCUAGGUGGUGUGGCUGUGGGCCCUGUGUGCCUACGUGAGAGGCAAGGAGGGGCAAGGGGCCACCCAGGGCCACCACUGUCCUUUCAAAAACACUUGGUCUGGCAGGCAAACCCAGACUUGGGAACUUAGUGAGGUUACUGACACAGAGGCAGAUAGCAGGACUUCAGGGUAAACACACAGAGCUCUCUGGGGCCAGUGCUUGGCCGUGAGCUCUGCCCGCUUCCGAUUCCGACUUGCCUAGAAGGGGAGGCUGGGCCCUGACAAGACUCAAUCCUGCAAAAUCCAUCCCUCCCACACGGGCUCUCCCCAGGGCUGCUUGAGCAUCCUUCUGACAUGGCUGCUGGCUCCCCCAGAACAAGUGGUUCAGGGAGAAAAGGAGGAGGAGGAAGCCACAAAGUCUUUUGUGACCUGCAAUUGGAAGUCCCACAGUUCCAGCUUCUGCAUUCUAGUCCUUAGAAGCCAAUACCAAGUCCAGUGCACACUCAGCGUGAGGGGAAUUCGAAGGGAUGAGGAUCAAAGAACUUGUGGACAUAAUUUUAAAACCACCACAGUCCACUUCAUUCUUUCCCUCCUGCAACAGCAGCCACUUUACAGCCAUCUGCCCCCUUGACUGUAGCCAGAGCCCAGUGUGAAGCUCUGGAUCGAUCUUGCUGCCCACCGUCUGUGCUUCCGCACCUGGGCCGAGGGGCCCUGACCAGGACGAUCCGCAGAGGGGACGCUCAGGCCCUGGCGGGGCCCCUUCUGCUUCUGGACACCUCCCCGACCCCAGGCGGCUCUCACCGCUGUUCCUUGGUGGCACAUCCGAAGUCCACCUCUCUCCUCAGUGCCACACCCCACUCACCGCCCCCCUCGGUGGCCAUUUGCUCACAAGCGAACCUGUAGCAUAAACCAAUUUCCUCCCACCCCAGGGGGAAGGGGCUUCUUUCCUCUUUUUAUUCAGGCUCCAUCGCUGUGGAUCCAAUUCACCACCUUCCAGAGGCCACCACGGCUUCCUCUCAGUUGCUCCCCUUUCUCUCGGCUCCUCUACUUUCACCCCCACUCUCACUACGAGCAAAUUCAGGUUUGUUCCAGCUUUUUGUUGUUGUUGUUAAGGCAAAAACUGAGUAAUAAUCCAUCCUUGGCCCAAUAUCGCUCCCCACACAAGACUCUCACACCCACCCUUCAGGAACCGUCCCAUGUCUCCGCGCUCCACAGCUGAGCUUCUGGAAGGAGAGGCCUGCACUCCUGCUCUCUCCCUCCACCUUCCCAGCACCAGGCACCUGCCACCGUGGCACCCCGGCCUCCAUGACGCUGUCCACUCCGCUCUCAUCAGGCUGUUGGGGGCCACCACAGGGCCAAAUCCAUGGGCCCUGCAUCGUCCCACGUGGCGUGGCCUCUGUGCGGUCCUGGGCACCCUGUGGAUAGCGCCUUCCUUUUAGACACCCUCUCCCCGUCUCCUCUGGCUGCGCCCGGUCCCACCCUGCUUCUGUGAAUGUUUUUGGUCUCUCUGUGGAAUCUCGCCAGACUCAAGCUUCACCCUCACCCCAGUGUCCCUCAGCUGCUGUCCUGGCCCAGCACUUGCUCAGGAGCUCAGGCGUUGCCCCUGGCCCUGCUCCCACCUGGACGCCGCGCGGGCCUUAGCCUCAGCACAGGUCGCAUUCCCUCCCAAUCCGGGUCCCCGGCUGUAUCUCCUGCUUCAAAGGUGGCAUCCCUUCCCAUGCGAUCACUCAGGGCAGAGCCUGGGAGCCUUCCAUCUUUCCCCAAAUGUGACCAGCCAAUUAAUGAAUCCGGAAAACAAAACAAUUUAAAAAAUG